RNAcentral lists this ribosomal RNA (474 nucleotides) under uncultured organism. RNAcentral describes it as "partial 16S ribosomal RNA". It matches the Rfam family "Bacterial small subunit ribosomal RNA", at positions 331 to 797 of the family's 1533-position model. The record is from RNAcentral.
GUACACUCCUACGGGAGGCAGCAGUGGGGAAUAUUGCACAAUGGGCGCAAGCCUGAUGCAGCCAUGCCGCGUGUGUGAAGAAGGCCUUCGGGUUGUAAAGCACUUUCAGCGGGGAGGAAGGCGAUACGGUUAAUAACCGUGUUGAUUGACGUUACCCGCAGAAGAAGCACCGGCUAACUCCGUGCCAGCAGCCGCGGUAAUACGGAGGGUGCAAGCGUUAAUCGGAAUUACUGGGCGUAAAGCGCACGCAGGCGGUCUGUCAAGUCGGAUGUGAAAUCCCCGGGCUCAACCUGGGAACUGCAUUCGAAACUGGCAGGCUUGAGUCUUGUAGAGGGGGGUAGAAUUCCAGGUGUAGCGGUGAAAUGCGUAGAGAUCUGGAGGAAUACCGGUGGCGAAGGCGGCCCCCUGGACAAAGACUGACGCUCAGGUGCGAAAGCGUGGGGAGCAAACAGGAUUAGAAACCCGAGUAGUCCC